RNAcentral lists this transfer RNA (59 nucleotides) under Chitinophaga sp. S165. Its description in RNAcentral is "tRNA-His". It matches the Rfam family "tRNA", at positions 8 to 63 of the family's 71-position model. Rfam says of the family: Transfer RNA (tRNA) molecules are approximately 80 nucleotides in length. Lineage: Bacteria; Pseudomonadati; Bacteroidota; Chitinophagia; Chitinophagales; Chitinophagaceae. The record is from RNAcentral.
UAGCUCAGUUGGUUAGAGCAUCAGAUUGUGGUUCUGAGGGUCGAGGGUUCGAAACCCUU